RNAcentral lists this ribosomal RNA (429 nucleotides) under Chloroflexota bacterium. RNAcentral describes it as "Chloroflexi bacterium partial 16S ribosomal RNA". It matches the Rfam family "Bacterial small subunit ribosomal RNA", at positions 355 to 776 of the family's 1533-position model. The record is from RNAcentral. Lineage: Bacteria; Bacillati; Chloroflexota.
UGGGGAAUAUUGCACAAUUGGCGCAAGCCUGAUGCAGCCAUGCCGCGUGUAUGAAGAAGGCCUUCGGGUUGUAAAGUACUUUCAGUCGGGAGGAAGGUGGUAAGGUUAAUAACCUUAUCAAUUGACGUUACCGACAGAAGAAGCACCGGCUAACUCCGUGCCAGCAGCCGCGGUAAUACGGAGGGUGCAAGCGUUAAUCGGAAUUACUGGGCGUAAAGCGCACGCAGGCGGUUGAUUGAGUCAGAUGUGAAAUCCCCGGGCUUAACCCGGGAAUUGCAUCUGAUACUGGUCAGCUAGAGUCUUGUAGAGGGGGGUAGAAUUCCAUGUGUAGCGAUGAAAUGCGUAGAGAUGUGGAGGAAUACCGGUGGCGAAGGCGGCCCCCUGGACAAAGACUGACGCUCAGGUGCGAAAGCGUGGGGAGCAAACAGG